RNAcentral lists this transfer RNA (72 nucleotides) under Cheilinus undulatus (humphead wrasse). RNAcentral's name for it is "tRNA-Pro". It matches the Rfam family "tRNA". From Rfam's summary of the family: Transfer RNA (tRNA) molecules are approximately 80 nucleotides in length. The record is from RNAcentral. Lineage: Eukaryota; Metazoa; Chordata; Actinopteri; Labriformes; Labridae.
CAAGGAAUCGUCUAAUUUUAGGAUCCUAGCUUUGGGAGUUAGGGGCGAAGGUUAAAAUCCUUCUUCUUUGAG